UACGGAGGUUGCAAGCGUUAUCCGGAUUUAUUGGGUUUAAAGGGUGCGUAGGCGGGAGAAUAAGUCAGUGGUGAAAACCUGCAGCUUAACUGUAGAACUGCCAUUGAUACUGUUUUUCUUGAGUAUAGUUGAGGUGGGCGGAAUGUGUAGUGUAGCGGUGAAAUGCUUAGAUAUUACACAGAACACCGAUUGCGUAGGCAGCUCACUAAACUAAAACUGACGCUGAGGCACGAAAGCGUGGGGAUCAAACAGG
This 253-nucleotide ribosomal RNA is filed under the name uncultured bacterium. RNAcentral describes it as "partial 16S ribosomal RNA". It matches the Rfam family "Bacterial small subunit ribosomal RNA", at positions 524 to 776 of the family's 1533-position model. The record is from RNAcentral.